Molecule: RNA transcript, 2453 nt
Organism: Pomacea canaliculata
Lineage: Eukaryota; Metazoa; Mollusca; Gastropoda; Architaenioglossa; Ampullariidae
Exons: 9
Source: RefSeq, a predicted model, not a curated record
UUAGAUAACGUUUCUCAAUUCGGACUAACUACAGACAUACUACUCUUCAGCAACAGAGAAUCUUUCUGAAGUUUGAAGAACUGUAAGAGUCUUCAGCUUUUUAUUUCCUUGUAUCAACAGUGUCAGCCAGGAAGACAAACAGGAAGACUUGUUAAUCUGAGAAACGGAGAACAGGCGAAUACUGUUCAGGAGUAUAAAUAUUUAUCUUUACGCAGAUACAUAAAAAUGUUACAAAAAACCUUUUUUUUAUAGAUUCACAUCUUAUGGUUCAAGGGGAAACAUGUAAAAAAACUUCCCGCUUGCUAUUAGUUAAUAUACUUUUAACGUUUCUAUUUUCUAUUUAAAUACAAAAAUGACCGCUAAUAAUGAAAGUUUUAGUCAACGAAUGAACAAAUCUGUAAUUAAAUCAAGCUGAGGCAAAAACGAAGCGCAAUGUCAACCUACGAAUCGUGUGGAGGAAGAGUGGGCGAGACUGGUGUUUAUGCCAAGCCAGUAACUAGGUCUAUAUCACGGGAAGGCAACCAGCGCUGUAAACAGAUGCCACAUGAGGAGAAAGAACAGCGUGCCCGAGACGAGAGUUGAACCCAGGACACCCAUCCUUCACUGUAUGGGUGAUAGGCGCUAACCGUUGCGCCACCGGACCGCCUUGGUGCUCUGUGUGUUCUCCUGUGUAUACACCAUUUAAAAGCAAUGCCUUCUAGGUAUAAAUAUCUGAAAAGAUUUGUGACAACUGUGUCGAUAUGCAUCUUUACUUUUUUGGAAGAUUGUCGCGCGUGGAAAGUGCAGACUGUCAGCCAUGAUAUUAAUGUGGAAAACGGAGUGGAGUCCAACAUUGAUUUCUUCCUCACUGAUUACCGAUCUCUGAAUGGUAGUAUACGGAUAAUUGUCCAACAUCGGUCAAGUAAUGGAAGUUUUAGCAAAAAGUGUCGGAUUGAUCACUCAGACACAGGAGUCUGUCAGCCGACACUCGGUCCAUGCGAGUGUGUGGGUGAAAGUUCAGGAUCAUAUCGAUAUCGACUGAGGAUGACCUUUAGAGAGCCAGAUGGCGGCCAGUGGGUGUUCACCACUGGCAACAAUGAGGAGAUGUUUGUUAACAUUACAGUCAUUCCACGUCGUGCCUUUAAAAUCUACACCAAAAGCAAGAGUAUAACUGUUGAAAACGGACUGAAAUCGAAUGUCGACUUCUUUCUCAAUGAUUCUACAGCUGUAGAUAUCGGUGUGAGGAUAGUUGUUCAACAUCAAAACGUUGGUGGUGUGACAUUUGACCCUAAAUGUCACAUACACCACUCAAAGACAGGCGGAUGUCAAAUCUUAUUUGGCCCGUGUGAGUGCAUAGGUGAAAGGUCAGAGACAUAUCAAUACCGAUUGAGGAUGGUCUUUACACAACAAGAUGGCGGUCUGUGGAAGUUUGACAUUGUCAGUCACGAGGGGACAAUUGUUAACAUCACAGUCAUUGGUCAACAGAGUACAGAACGACCAGAAGUGAAGGGGUUAACACCAGUCAUUUCGGUCAUCACCGUUAUUGCCAUUCUCAUCAUCAUAUCGUUGGUCGCAGUCCUCCGGUGUCGUGCCAGGUCAGAACACACUCUCGAGGGCGAAGCAGCACAGAUGAAUGAAAUAACAGAAAUUAAUUCCAUGGACUGUCAACUGUAUCAUAUUCUUGAUAAAGUGGAAUACGUCGACCACGUAACGCAGACUUUAAGAGAAUCUUUGUCACGUGACGGACAGUCAGCUGACCGCCUUGGUCAAUCCACUGAUGUGGGUGACGUUCAGCUCUACACUGUGGUAGAAAUGCUUCAAUAACUCUCAUUUGGUAGGACAGGUCAAAACAUUUAUAGUAAAGCCAUGGCGUUGUCAUCGAUUUCAAACAUCAGGAAGUAAGAAAGGGCAAAGGUCGAACAACUUCUGUGAAGUCACGUCGUCUGCUUUGGUCAGUCACACUUUCUUUCUGUCCUUGGAAGAUGUCUUCGUUAUGGUGUAAUAGUACAGUGGGAUUGUCGCACGUGGAAAGUGCAGACCGACAGCCAUGAUAUUACUGUGGAAAAGGGAGUGGAGUCCAGCAUUGAUUUCUACCUCUCUGAUUAUCGAUCUCUGAAUGUUAGUCUACAACUAAUUGUCCAACAUCAGUCGACUGAUCGGCCUUUCGGCAAAAAAUGUCAGAUCGAGCACUCAGCCUCAGAAGUUUGUCACCCGACACUCGGUCCAUGUGAGUGUAUGGGUGAAAGUUCAGGGUCAUAUCGAUAUCGACUGAGGAUGACCUUUACACAGCAAGAUGGCGGCCAGUGGCUGUUCCAGAUUGUUAACCAUGGGACGACACGUGUUAACAUCACCGUCAUUCAAAGCAUCACUUCAUCACAAGAUCACCAAAGUACAGAGCCUGCACAAGUGACUGGUCUAACCCCUAUCUCGAAAGGCUACACUCUGUCAACUACAACCCUAUUCUUUUAAAUAUC